This is a long non-coding RNA of Ruditapes philippinarum (Manila clam), 1482 nucleotides long. RefSeq lists it as uncharacterized. Lineage: Eukaryota; Metazoa; Mollusca; Bivalvia; Venerida; Veneridae. The transcript is spliced from 5 exons. The record is from RefSeq and is a predicted model, not a curated record.
UCUAGUAAAAAUAAAAUAUGACCCAGAACUAAUUGCAAAAGUUUUCAAUCUUUGUUCAUUGAAUAGGUCUGGUAUAUGUAUAUGUCAGAAAAAAAGUUGCACAUAUAACUCUGUGCACAACUUUUUUUACAAGCGUUCAAAGUUCACGAAUUUUAACUUUAUAUUUUAAGACCCGAACUGUACACCAUACACGCGGUUUUUUUCCUAUGACGUAACAAUUUUAAGUAGGCACGCGCGUCAUUGAAAACUUGUCAUAUGAUUUCGUGAAACUUCCGUCGAAACAUAAAUAUAAUUAUUCAUCAAAAAUAGCAUUUAGAUGGCAAAGAUAGGACAUCCAUGAUUUACACACCAAUGGUCAUAUGAUGAUUAUCUAAUGUUCAGCUGUCUCUUGUAUCAAGAUGAUACAAGCCACAUUACCAAACCAUGCUGAUGGAACAAAUAACGAUAUGAAGGGCGUUGCAUUUCGAAACCCGUUGUGCAUUUCUGAUUUCGGGAUCUACAAGUGAAUAUCAACAUGGCAACAGAUUCUACAACGUGCGUAUUUUGUGCGCAGGAUAUCCAGAAUAGGUCCCAAUUGUCACUCUCAGAGAGAAGAGAAGGGAAGCAACAUUGUUAACCAUGCUAGCGAUCUGAGGAAUUCAAGUAUACAAGAAUACGAACAAUUACAGGCCAAAUUGUGCAUCAAGACUGUAGAAGGGAUUUUAUUCUCAAUAGAAACAUUUCAAAUAGUUCCAAUGUUAAGUGUAACCAAGUUAAAAGACCUUUAAGAUCACAUGCUAAUUUUGCUUUUAAGUGUAAUUGCUUGUUCUGUGGUAAGCCUGCUAAAGUUGCAUCUGGUUAACGUAGAUGUUCAUCCUGGUAGAAGUUUUGAUUUUCAGGAAACACAUCGUCGGAACCCACGGUACACAUUCCGUAUAUACUUGUUUGUUUGUUUGUUUGUUUCAUUUUACGCCUUUUCCCAACAAUAUUUCAGUCAUAUAGGCGGGUAGUUUCCUAACCAUCGUUCCUGGAGAGUUACACCAGUACUAGGCUACCUUCCUCCGCGCUAAACUACCAAAGCAUCUCCCGGGGAUCGAACCCACGCCAGAGAGGUAACUGGAUUAGAGUCAUCCGUAUAUACUACAUUUAAUAUUAUUACCGAUACAUAUAUACGGUAAAUAGCCUGGGUUACCGAGGAUGCAGGAAACAAUACAACUCAAAUGUUCUGAGAGAAACAAUCUUUUGGGAAAUGUUGUUUUAAACAGACUGUUGUCAGUUUUGGAUUUUCGUCAGAUUCGAAGAAUGUAUAUUUCAGAUCAGACAAUGAAAACCCAAAUAGUUUGGCAUAUAUAUUCAAAAGACACCAAAAUAUGAUUGGAAUAGAGAUUUGUUAUCACCUACCAUUCCUGCACGCUUUCUCUGGUUGCGACAGUUCUUAAAAUAAUGUGUAAAAAUGAAGUGUUCCGGCAAAAUGCUGCAAUAUUUCAUUCUUCAACAAACAAA